UAGGGGAACUACAGCAUCAAUGGACUGUGGGAGUCCCAGAAUGCGGUCACUGGUGCUGUCCAAAGGAGAAAUGGAAUUCUGAAGAAAAGAAAUGAUGAACCCAAAACACCAAUUAAAAUACUGCAAAGCCAGAAAUGGAACUGGGAAUCUCAAUUUGCUGUGUCCCACUCAUCCACUUAUAAUAGUGCACAAUAUGGGUUCUCUGGGAGAGGCAGAGAUCUUACCACAUCAAGCACAGAAAUAACGGGACAUUGGGUUCUCAUUUUGCCUGCACCACUAAUUGCCCACGUGUUUCCAGACCACACAGCUACUUCCUGCUCCUACCGGUUUGCCAAAUUAUCAGAAUGGAAUAAUAUUACUAAGUGGAUUCAUUCAAAAGUGAUAGAUAAAUACCACUGUAAAGUCCUACAUGAAAUACUUUAUACCUAUUAAAAUAUUAAAUUGAUUAUGUAUCUUUCUUUAGCAACUAAAUAUCUUAUUAAAGGAAAAUCUGGGAAGCCAUCUGCUACCAAAAUUGUACACAAAAAUAUCCAAGCAGAGAGUUAAGCUAGAGAGUCUCUCUCUUGUUCAACUCUGUUGAGGGUCCAAGCUCAAUUCUGUGCUAACUGGGGAGGAUGCUUGCAUAGCAAAGUGAGCCCUGGUUUACAGGAAGAACUGGCAUCUCUUUGUAGAUGUGGUGAAUAAUCCUGCUGAGUCACUCUCUUUUCACACACAGCUCUCAUUGAGUUCACUAGUUCCCAGGUCUACUUUCCAAACCUGAGUCUUUAGAUGUCCCUGAAGAAACUGGCUCCCAAACUAGAACCUGUUCCCCAUUGAAGCAAUAUCUACAUUAAUAAAAGAGAAACAUGCAAAUUGACCAUAACUCUGCUAUGCCAAUCAGCCAAUCAGGAGGGAAUAUGCAAAUUAGAAGGAUAAAGAUGGCUGCCACCCAGCUACUCCAGGCAUGGAAUGGCUGGGUAGGAUGCCUGCUAUGAGAGGGAGGGCAGGGGGGAAGGGAUCUACAGAAGUGGCACUCUGGCCACAGCGAAGAUGAAGAUUGCAGACUCUGGAGUCUGCAACAAAGAUGAAGAGGGCAGACUCUGGCCAGAGUCUGCAGUGAAGCAGCGAAGAUGAAAACAGCAGACUCUGGCAGGAGUCUACAGUGAAGACAAAGGCAGCAGAUUCCGGCUAGAGAGAAGGCCUGGGUCCUGGUUGCCGGAGGAAAAAUGGUGCUGGAAGUCAAGGGAAGGAAGGCCUAUUGCACGAGUCUUCGUACAAUGGGCCUCUAGUUAAUAUAUGUCUGUUUGGGGGCGGAGGAGGAAAGAAUAGAUUACUAUCUUCUUAGCAUUUUCCAACUAACUUACACUUCCCCACACUCAUACUCCCAAUGCAUCAAUCAGUGUGUAAGAUUUAAUCCAAAAUUAGAAAUGUGACUUAGAUAAUGAAAUUAG
Long non-coding RNA from Pipistrellus kuhlii (Kuhl's pipistrelle), 1430 nucleotides. RefSeq lists it as uncharacterized. Lineage: Eukaryota; Metazoa; Chordata; Mammalia; Chiroptera; Vespertilionidae. The record is from RefSeq and is a predicted model, not a curated record. The transcript has 2 exons.